UACGGAGGGUGCAAGCGUUGCUCGGAAUCACUGGGCGUAAAGCGACCGCAGGCGGCCUGACAAGUCGGAUGUGAAAGCCCUGGGCUCAACUCAGGAAUUGCAUUCGAAACUGGUAGGCUCGAGUACGGGAGAGGAGAGUGGAAUUCCUGGUGUAGCGGUGAAAUGCGCAGAUAUCAGGAAGAACACCCGUGGCUAAGGCGGCUCUCUAGUACGGUACUGACGCUGAGACGCGAAAGCGUGGGGAGCGAACAGG
Molecule: ribosomal RNA, 253 nt
Filed under: uncultured bacterium
Lineage: Bacteria
Description: partial 16S ribosomal RNA
Rfam family: Bacterial small subunit ribosomal RNA
Source: RNAcentral